RNAcentral lists this ribosomal RNA (253 nucleotides) under uncultured bacterium. RNAcentral describes it as "partial 16S ribosomal RNA". It matches the Rfam family "Bacterial small subunit ribosomal RNA", at positions 524 to 776 of the family's 1533-position model. The record is from RNAcentral.
UACGUAGGGGGCAAGCGUUGUCCGGAUUUAUUGGGCGUAAAGCGCGUGUAGGCGGCUAGAUAGGUCCGCUGUGAAAACUUGAGGCUCAACCUCAAGAGGUCGGUGGAAACCAUCUGGCUAGAGUCCGGAAGAGGAGAGUGGAAUUCCUGGUGUAGCGGUGAAAUGCGUAGAUAUCUGGAGGAACACCGGUGGCGAAGGCGGCAUCCUGGACCAACACUGACGCUGAGGAGCGAAAGCCAGGGGAGCAAACGGG